Neolamprologus brichardi is the source of this 364-nucleotide non-coding RNA. Lineage: Eukaryota; Metazoa; Chordata; Actinopteri; Cichliformes; Cichlidae. The record is from RefSeq and is a predicted model, not a curated record.
GUUCUAUCGAAGCGACGGCGAGAGCCCCAGCGAGUCGAGCAGCGAGCCACUGUUCAGCGUCAACAACAGCGGAACGAGCCGGAGCCGAGGCUCCGACAGGCCGGGGCCGAACCGCUCCGGCUGGAGGCUGGACAGAGACAUGGGACUGAUGAACGCCAUCGGCCUGCAGCCCCGACACCCCACCCCUUCAGUGACAUCGCAAGGAACCCAGACGCCAAUCAUCCAGCUGCAAAACGCUGAGACUCAAACCGAGAGGGAGCUGUCGGAGCCGAGCGCCUCGCAGCCCGCUCAGAGUACUGACACACACACAACCCCGUUCAACUAUCUUAGUGUCCCUCCUGAAGCUCCGUCCACCAGUGGAGCG